RNAcentral lists this ribosomal RNA (253 nucleotides) under uncultured bacterium. RNAcentral describes it as "partial 16S ribosomal RNA". It matches the Rfam family "Bacterial small subunit ribosomal RNA", at positions 524 to 776 of the family's 1533-position model. The record is from RNAcentral.
UACGAAGGGGGCUAGCGUUGUUCGGAAUUACUGGGCGUAAAGCGCACGUAGGCGGAUUGGCAAGUCAGGGGUGAAAUCCCGGGGCUCAACCUCGGAAUUGCCUUUGAUACUGCCAGUCUAGAGUCCGGAAGAGGUGGGUGGAAUUCCUAGUGUAGAGGUGAAAUUCGCAGAUAUUAGGAAGAACACCGGUGGCGAAGGCGGCCCACUGGUCCGGAACUGACGCUGAGGUGCGAAAGCGUGGGGAGCAAACAGG